UUGCCUCAGUAACGGCGAGUGAAGCGGCAACAGCUCAAAUUUGAAAUCUGGCUCCUUCGGGGCCCGAGUUGUAAUUUGCAGAGGAUGCGUCGGGUACGGGUGCCUUCCGAGUUCCCUGGAACGGGACGCCAUAGAGGGUGAGAGCCCCGUCUGGUAGGAUACCCAGCCCGUGUGACGCUCCCUCGACGAGUCGAGUAGUUUGGGAAUGCUGCUCUAACGGGAGGUAUACUCCUUCCAAGGCUAAAUACCGGCUGGAGACCGAUAGCGCACAAGUAGAGUGAUCGAAAGAUGAAAAGCACUUUGAAAAGAGAGUCAAACAGCACGUGAAAUUGUUAAAAGGGAAGCGCUCGCUACCAGACUUGGGUUCGGCGGUUCAACCGGGGCCACGCCCCGGGGCAUUCCGCCGGCCCAGGCCAGCAUCAGCUUUCCGUCGGGGGUAAAGGCGUCGGGAAUGUGGCUCCCCUUCGGGGGAGUGUUAUAGCCCGUCGUGUCAUACCCUUCGGGGGGCUGAGGUACGCGCUUCUGCAAGGAUGCUGGCGUAAUGGUAGCUAGUGACCCGUCUUGAAACACGGACCAAGGAGUCAACCUUAUGUGCGAGUGCCCGGGCGUAAAACCCCAGCGCGGAAUGAAAGUGAACGUAGGUGAGAGCUUCGGCGCAUCACCGACCGAUCCUGAUGUCCUCGGACGGAUUUGAGUGAGAGCAUAUAGGGUUGGACCCGAAAGAAGAUGAACUAUGCGUGUGUAGGGUGAAGCCAGAGGAAACUCUGGUGGAGGCUCGCAGCGGUUCUGACGUGCAAAUCGAUCGUCAAACAUGCGCAUGG
RNAcentral lists this ribosomal RNA (821 nucleotides) under Plectosphaerella cucumerina. RNAcentral describes it as "partial large subunit ribosomal RNA". It matches the Rfam family "Eukaryotic large subunit ribosomal RNA", at positions 75 to 920 of the family's 3401-position model. Lineage: Eukaryota; Fungi; Ascomycota; Sordariomycetes; Glomerellales; Plectosphaerellaceae. The record is from RNAcentral.